CGUCCUCCUGGUCGAGGACGACGACGGCGACGCCCUGCUCGUCGAGGCGCUGCUCGAAGAAGCGAGCGCGCCGUUCGUCCUGGCGCGCGCGA
Molecule: transfer RNA, 92 nt
Filed under: Lentzea sp. NBRC 102530
Lineage: Bacteria; Bacillati; Actinomycetota; Actinomycetes; Pseudonocardiales; Pseudonocardiaceae
Description: tRNA-Gln
Source: RNAcentral